CCUACGGGUGGCAGCAGUAGGGAAUAUUGCUCAAUGGGGGAAACCCUGACGCAGCAACGCCGCGUGGAGGAUGAAGGUUUUCGGAUUGUAAACCCCUUUUGUUAGAGAAGAUAAUGACGGUAUCUAACGAAUAAGCACCGGCUAACUCCGUGCCAGCAGCCGCGGUAAUACGGCGGGGGCAAGCGUUACUCGGACUCACUGGGCGUAAAGAGCGCGGAGGCGGGAUAGCAAGUCAGAUGUGAAAUCCUACGGCUUAACCAUAGAACUGCAUUUGAAACUGGUAUUCUAGAGUGUGGGAGAGGUAGGUGGAAUGCUAGGUGUAGGGGUGAAAUGCGUAGAGAUAAAGAGGAAUACUCAUGGCGAAGGCGACCUGCUAGAACAUAACUGACGCUGAUGCGCGAAAGCGUGGGGAGCAAACAGGAUUAGAUACCCUUGUAGUC
RNAcentral lists this ribosomal RNA (440 nucleotides) under uncultured bacterium. RNAcentral describes it as "partial 16S ribosomal RNA". It matches the Rfam family "Bacterial small subunit ribosomal RNA", at positions 338 to 795 of the family's 1533-position model. The record is from RNAcentral.